UGGGGAAUUUUGGACAAUGGGGGCAACCCUGAUCCAGCAAUGCCGCGUGUGUGAAGAAGGCCUUCGGGUUGUAAAGCACUUUUGUCCGGAAAGAAAACGUCGUGGUUAAUACCCGUGGCGGCUGACGGUACCGGAAGAAUAAACACCGGCUAACUACGUGCCAGCAGCCGCGGUAAUACGUAGGGUGCAAGCGUUAAUCGGAAUUACUGGGCGUAAAGCGUGCGCAGGCGGUCCGCUAAGACAGAUGUGAAAUCCCCGGGCUUAACCUGGGAACUGCAUUUGUGACUGGCGGGCUAGAGUAUGGCAGAGGGGGGUUAGAAUUCCACGUGUAGCAGUGAAAUGCGUAGAGAUGUGGAGGAAUACCGAUGGCGAAGGCAGCCCCCUGGGCCAAUACUGACGCUCAUGCACGAAAGCGUGGGGGAGCAAACAGGAUUAGAUACCCUGGUAGUCCACG
RNAcentral lists this ribosomal RNA (454 nucleotides) under uncultured bacterium. RNAcentral's name for it is "partial 16S ribosomal RNA". It matches the Rfam family "Bacterial small subunit ribosomal RNA", at positions 355 to 799 of the family's 1533-position model. The record is from RNAcentral.